Molecule: long non-coding RNA, 2564 nt
Filed under: Mus musculus (house mouse)
Lineage: Eukaryota; Metazoa; Chordata; Mammalia; Rodentia; Muridae
Description: long non-coding RNA chr7:64337841-64340405
Source: RNAcentral
GCAGGAUGUACUUCCGGGCCACGGGGCCACAUGACACGCUGGGGACACCAGAGUUCCUCUCCUCUUCAUUUCCAUUUUCUCCUGUAGGAAAUCUGUGUAGACGAAGCAUUUUAGGAACGCCAUUAAGCAAAUUUUUAAGUGGGGCCAAAAUAUGGUUAUCUACUGAGACACUAGCAAAUGAAGACUAAAUUAAGGUAUUUUUCUGGACAUAUUGAGAGAAGCUGGACAUUUCCCUCUCUGAACUGAAAUUGCUAACUGAGGCAUUUAAAACAUUUUAUAUGUAAGAAAUUUGCACAAAUAUUUAAACCAUGUUUAAUCAUGCUGCCUUCAGUUAUUCUAAGGGCAGUGUGACUUUUGGGUUUGACCUUUGGGUCUGGCUCAUUUGGGUCAUUUGCAGCACGAAUUUCCCAUUGUUACACUUGAUAUCAAAAUAUUGAGGUUCCUCUGCCAUGCGAAUUUUGCCAACUUCUAUUUUCCAACCUACUAAAGGUGAUCUGAUAGUCAGAUUACAACCCAGAGAAAGUGGAUAGGGAAGUUAAUAAAUUAGUGUAUUUAAUGCAUUUCUAGAUCAUCUGAUAAAACUCCCAAGAGGCCUCAGUUGGCAUCCACGUGUUUAGCUAAUAUUCUUAGCUUGUGUUCUGGGUUUAGAUUUUAGUUCACCUCAGUUAGGACCUAAGAUCACUGUGUUUCAAAAUCAUGGAUUUGCUUCAAUUCCAUACAACUAACUUAAAAGAUGCACUGUAAUUUUAAAGCAUUCACUGUAGCUAUUUAAACCUAGAAGUGCCUUUGACAUUCAGAUAAAAGUAGCAAAGAAGCUAGAAUAACAAAAUUUUCAAAAUUGGGCUCUUUAGACCCCACUGUAUAGUGGAAAUAGCUUUUUGCCAACAAGCUUACAUCAAUAGCCAGGAGUCUCCAGAGCCACAGUUUUGUCCCUCAGAAAGUCACCCUGCCAUCUUAGAGGCUCUCCAGGUAGAAGAUGCCCAGCUCCAGCUGUGGCUGAGGGUGCCAAGUCCAUGCACAGGAGCAUGCCACAGGCAGACCGCAGGCUGUAGGGAUGCUCUGGCCUCCUCCUGAGCACCUCAGCUGUCAUGCUGACGCAGGCCAACACUUCUCCUCAGAAAUGACAGGCAGGGUCACGAGAUGGACACAUGCACAGACUAGAGAGGAAGACUUCCUCAGUUGUUGCCAUUUUAAUACAGAGAUGCACCCCUUCCUGGCUUGGGGGCAAUGCCAAGAGGCUGAGAAUCUGAAGCCUUGAUCCAAACCAUGAUGAGAACCUGGUCAGCUUCACCCAGCCCUGUGCUUCUGCACUCACGAAUGCUCGUGCGUGUGUGCAGGGCUUCUUCUCCCUGUUUAAAGGUGGACAUGUCCUAAUGGACAAUGGCAGUGUCUUAAAUUGCCACCUUGGAUUUUGAAAUACUUUAUAGUAAAGUGUUGAUUUAGUUUGUUUCUUUUUCAAAAACUGAAUUUCUCAAAAUAGUGUGACCUGUCUAUAUGCUGUUUAGCCAUUUCUACUAAAUUGACCUUUUCUAACUGUUUAAUAAUGUCUCUGCAUUUAACAGGGCAGAUGUUCUUAUGUCUAAAAAAGUUCUUAUCUUAUGGCUAAACUUAAUGUUUUCACUCAUCUGUUGCUAUAAAAUAAGGGCUCUUGUCUACUUAUACAAAUAGCAUUAUCAGCAGUGAGGAUGCGCCAGCCGUUGGCCACACAGUUAGCCCUGGUCCGAGACACCGGGGUGUCACCACUGGAACCUGACAGUAAUGGCCCCCAUUUUCAUGAAGCUGCUUUGCUACUUCUAUAAGUUGUUCUAGAUUUAUUUUGCGGUUGAGAAUUCGUUUCUUUGUAAUUUUCAUCCCUCACAUUUACUUCAGCUCCUUUCAGAACUUUUUUGCCAACUUACAAGAAGGUCAGGUACUAUUAACAAACACUACUUUAUGAUGGAAAUUGCAUAUUUUUGUAUGGUAAUCAAUUGUAAAUGUUCUUCUAUUUUAACUGGGUGGUUGUUACAUCACGAUUAUUGUACAACAGCUUACUAUGUGAAACAGCUCCAGAGUCCUAGUGUGGCCUAUGGGACAGCUGCCUGGCACCUCUGCAAACAAAAGUGACCCUGCGGUGACAGAAGAGGUAAGCGUGGCUGUGAGCAGCAUACCAAAGAGCUCAGAAGCACUCUCUCCGAAGCCACCCGGGCAGAGCCUGUGCUGGCGGCGCCCAUGCAGGGGCUGAUGACACUGGGCAUCCUAAUGCUGACUCCAGAGGUCAAACUGUCUUACUGUUGCUUUAUGUUGGGAACCAAUUCUAAAACCAAAAAUGCCUAACUUUACUUAAGGAAAGGACAUUAAUUUCUACUGACAGAAGAUGAAAACUGUUCAACAUGUUUUUCAACAAGAUCCUCUUGCUGUAGCAGUAACCUCAAGCAAUUAAAACUUGGUGUCGAGACAAAACUAAACCCUUUGUGCCUAAAUCCAACUGCUGAGCCUAAGCAGGCUGAGCAGGUUGACUGGAUCCUGCCCAACAGAGUGGAUGUAAAGGGCUCUCUGACUGCUAAAUAAAAUCUCCAUGGAUACCG